AGUACGCGGGAUCUAUUCCAGGUGGCCACAGCCAUAGAUUCCCACAGUGGGGGAAAAGCAACCAUGUGAACAAGAUUUCAGAUGAAAGAGAAACCACAAAUGAUCAGUUCUGGGGCUGAUUGCAAAAAUUAGAGGCUGCCUUUCUUGGCUGUUUGAGAAAUCCUCUAAGUCACUGGGUGCCCUUUCUAGUAGAAAGACCCACGUUCUGGCUGGGCGCGGUGGCUCAUGCCUGUAAUCCCAGCACUUUGGGAGGCUGAGGAGGACGGAUCACUUGAACCCAGGAGUUCGAGAACAGCCUGGCCAACAUGGCAAGACCCCGUCUCUGCAAAAAAAUACAAAAAUUAGCUGGGCAUGGUGUUGCGCACCUGUAGUCCCAGCUACUCAGGAGGCUGAGGUGGGAGGAUCACCUGAGUCAGGGCAGGUCAAGGCUGCAGUGAGCCCUGAUGGUCACUGCACUCCAGCCUGGGUGACAAAAUGAGACCCUGUCUCCAAAAAAAAAAAAACCGAACAAAACCUCCAUUCUUACAAGACCCUCAAGGCAGCAAGGACGGGUUAUUCCCUAAGCUGGAAAGGUGACCAGGGAGGCCUGCAGUGGCGACUCGGGAGGAGAGUGACCUCAUCAAACAGCAACCUCAUUGGCCCCGGGCUCCAGCAGAGAAUCAGCUGGAGGCUGCACCCCCGCAAGUCCAUGAGCAACCACCAGAAGCCAUGAAUUCAGCUCCCUUUGUGGAGUCUACAAAAGAAUCUUUGUGCCCUGAAGUUGGUCAUAAAUACUUAACUUACCAGGCCGGGCACAGUGGCUCAUGCCUGUAAUCCCAGCACUUCGGGAGGCUGAGGCGCACGGAUCACUUGAGGCCAGGAGUUCGAGACCAGUCUGGCCAACAUGGUGAAACCCUGUCUCUACUAAAAAUAUGAAAAUUACCCGGGUGUGGUGGUAUAUGCCUGUAAUCCCAGCUGCUAGGGAGGCUGAGGCACGAGAAUUGAUUGAACCCAGGAGGCAGAGGUUGCAGUGAGCUGAGAUCGCACCACGGCACUCCAGCCUGGGUGACAGAGUGAGACUCUGUCUAAAUAAAUAAAAAUUAAAAAAAAAAUAACUCAUCAGGAAAACCCCUACAGGGGAAGGGGCUCUAACCCCUGGAAGAUCCAUAGUUUGGCCUCAGAUGCGGGAGUGUGGUGAACUCCCAAGAAGUGUAGAAAAUGGCAUGUGUGUUUUUCUGGGAAGAGGCUCUAUGACUUUAAACAGAUUCUGAAGGGGCUUUGUGACUUCCUCAAAACACCUGGGACCCCAGUGAUCUGUGUACCUGCAAUCACUCUUUCCUUUUCAGAAAACCUACUUUUUCCCCCUCAAUUCCUUCUCUAAGGAUGUUGCAGAAAACUAUUUAGGAGGCCUGACAGGGAAAAUCUCACAAGCAAAACUUGUCCUGCAACCUUACUUUUAUUGUUUAAAAAAUUCUGUGUAAAAAUAAAUACUUUUCAACUCAAGUUAACUGGAGCAAAUAGAUCCAAUUAAAAAAAUAACAUAAACACAAACAGGGUUUUCUACUUGCCCUGUUUCUGAAGUCAUGACGUGAAAGAAAGGCAAACCCACCCAGGUGAGCCACAGAUCGCAGAAAACACGAGCUGUCCAAGGAAGACCGCCCUCCUCUCUGAAGCAGUGCUCAUCUUUUCAAUAAGAAAACACCAGGCAUCAUAUAUUUAAAUUUUAGAAUAUUUUAAUGUCCAUUUCUUCAGUGAAUGCAUUUUGAAAUUAUUAGAAUUAACAAUUUAAAAAGAGCAGAUAAAAGGAUAUAUGGAAAAUGCAA
Molecule: long non-coding RNA, 1802 nt
Filed under: Homo sapiens (human)
Lineage: Eukaryota; Metazoa; Chordata; Mammalia; Primates; Hominidae
Description: non-protein coding lnc-DNASE1-7:1
Source: RNAcentral